GACGAACGCUGGCGGCGUGCUUAACACAUGCAAGUCGAGCGGUAAGGCCCUUUCGGGGGUACGACGAGCGGCGAACGGGUGAGUAACACGUGGGUGACCUGCCCUCAGCUCUGGGAUAAGCCUGGGAAACUGGGUCUAAUACUGGAUAUGACUCCACGGUGCAUGUCGUGGGGUGGAAAGCCUUGUGCGGCUGAGGAUGGGCCCGCGGCCUAUCAGCUUGUUGGGGGGGUGAU
This 233-nucleotide ribosomal RNA is filed under the name uncultured bacterium. RNAcentral's name for it is "partial 16S ribosomal RNA". It matches the Rfam family "Bacterial small subunit ribosomal RNA", at positions 28 to 261 of the family's 1533-position model. The record is from RNAcentral.